Molecule: long non-coding RNA, 889 nt
Organism: Carassius auratus (goldfish)
Lineage: Eukaryota; Metazoa; Chordata; Actinopteri; Cypriniformes; Cyprinidae
Exons: 4
Source: RefSeq, a predicted model, not a curated record
CUCUGCUUGGUCUCCAGCUGCUCCUGGUUCACUGUACACAGAUGCACACAAAACGAGGCGAUGUAUUGACUCCUGCCCUGUACAUCUGAGGCAAUUGCCUCAGUCCUUCAUGCACAUAAUUCGGGCUAAAAAAAGCACAUGUACACACUGCUUGACCUUUACAGUCGUGGAUGCAGAAUCAAAGGUUAUAGGUGAGAUCGUGCUGAAUUUCGCUGACAAACUUCUGGGCAUAUUCAGGAUAGAGGCGCAGCACUUCACGCAGUCCCUUUAGGCUGAUGUACUGCAGGUCACAAUAUGUCAGUGCUUUCACAUUUGCGUUGGUCUUGAUCACCUGCUCUUUUGUCAGCGAAUCCGAUCCAAUCAGGUCUCCCUUUCCUGUUUGAGAAAAGCAUUUUAUGUUUGAAAAUGAGGGGCACACGAGGCAGCAUAGAGGCUAAAAAAUAUGUUCUAGUUUGGUGCAAAGGGACUAUGAAAGCAGUGACAAAUUCUGAAGUGUGCAAAAGUAUCUCAGCAGUGCAUUCUGGGAAGGCACACCGGUUGGCACACAUUGGAGGCAACUGAGUUCAGCAGUGCUGGAGAGAGAUGGGUGGUAGGAUGCAUCUUUCAUCAAGUAAGCAGGUGUAGUAAUUAUGCAAGGAAUAUGUGUUUGUUUGCAUGUUUGUACUGUCAUGUUUACAAGAGCUCUAUGCAUCUUAUCUAUUAGAUAACAUGGCAGAUUUGUUGCUCUUUUACCCCUUCUUCUCUUCUGCUUCCCUAUAUGAGCAAAUCCAUGUUUGUACAUUGACGAAGUAGCCAUGUAUUCUGCCAAAAAUGUAAAACUAUGCAAACUAUGCAUCAAUUAAAAAAAUCAUAUUUUCAUAUUUUUUUUUUAUUACACGACUUAUUUUGA